AGCUACAGGCUUAACACAUGCAAGUCGAGGGGCAGCAUGGUCUUAGCUUGCUAAGGCCGAUGGCGACCGGCGCACGGGUGAGUAACACGUAUCCAACCUGCCGUCUACUCUUGGACAGCCUUCUGAAAGGAAGAUUAAUACAAGAUGGCAUCAUGAGUCCACAUGUUCACAUGAUUAAAGGUAUUCCGGUAGACGAUGGGGAUGCGUUCCAUUAGAUAGUAGGCGGGGUAACGGCCCACCUAGUCUUCGAUGGAUAGGGGUUCUGAGAGGAAGGUCCCCCACAUUGGAACUGAGACACGGUCCAAACUCCUACGGGAGGCAGCAGUGAGGAAUAUUGGUCAAUGGGCGAGAGCCUGAACCAGCCAAGUAGCGUGAAGGAUGACUGCCCUAUGGGUUGUAAACUUCUUUUAUAAAGGAAUAAAGUCGGGUAUGCAUACCCGUUUGCAUGUACUUUAUGAAUAAGGAUCGGCUAACUCCGUGCCAGCAGCCGCGGUAAUACGGAGGAUCCGAGCGUUAUCCGGAUUUAUUGGGUUUAAAGGGAGCGUAGAUGGAUGUUUAAGUCAGUUGUGAAAGUUUGCGGCUCAACCGUAAAAUUGCAGUUGAUACUGGAUAUCUUGAGUGCAGUUGAGGCAGGCGGAAUUCGUGGUGUAGCGGUGAAAUGCUUAGAUAUCACGAAGAACUCCGAUUGCGAAGGCAGCCUGCUAAGCUGCAACUGACAUUGAGGCUCGAAAGUGUGGGUAUCAAACAGGAUUAGAUACCCUGGUAGUCCACACGGUAAACGAUGAAUACUCGCUGUUUGCGAUAUACUGCAAGCGGCCAAGCGAAAGCGUUAAGUAUUCCACCUGGGGAGUACGCCGGCAACGGUGAAACUCAAAGGAAUUGACGGGGGCCCGCACAAGCGGAGGAACAUGUGGUUUAAUUCGAUGAUACGCGAGGAACCUUACCCGGGCUUAAAUUGCAGAUGAAUUACGGUGAAAGCCGUAAGCCGCAAGGCAUCUGUGAAGGUGCUGCAUGGUUGUCGUCAGCUCGUGCCGUGAGGUGUCGGCUUAAGUGCCAUAACGAGCGCAACCCUUGUUGUCAGUUACUAACAGGUUCUGCUGAGGACUCUGACAAGACUGCCAUCGUAAGAUGUGAGGAAGGUGGGGAUGACGUCAAAUCAGCGCGGCCCUUACGUCCGGGGCUACACACGUGUUACAAUGGGGGGUACAGAGGGCCGCUACCACGCGAGUGGAUGCCAAUCCCAAAAACCUCUCUCAGUUCGGACUGGAGUCUGCAACCCGACUCCACGAAGCUGGAUUCGCUAGUAAUCGCGCAUCAGCCACGGCGCGGUGAAUACGUUCCCGGGCCUUGUACACACCGCCCGUCAAGCCAUGGGAGCCGGGGGUACCUGAAGUGCGUAACCGCGAGGAGCGCCCUAGGGUAAAACUGGUGACUGGGGCU
RNAcentral lists this ribosomal RNA (1440 nucleotides) under uncultured organism. RNAcentral describes it as "SSU rRNA". It matches the Rfam family "Bacterial small subunit ribosomal RNA". The record is from RNAcentral.